GCCCGGUUAGCUCAAUCGGUAGAGCGUGAGACUCUUACUCAGAGUACACGAUCUCAAGGUUGCGGGUUCGACCCCCGCAUCGGGCU
This 86-nucleotide transfer RNA is filed under the name Fusarium ambrosium. RNAcentral's name for it is "tRNA-Lys". It matches the Rfam family "tRNA". From Rfam's summary of the family: Transfer RNA (tRNA) molecules are approximately 80 nucleotides in length. Their secondary structure includes four short double-helical elements and three loops (D, anti-codon, and T loops). Lineage: Eukaryota; Fungi; Ascomycota; Sordariomycetes; Hypocreales; Nectriaceae. The record is from RNAcentral. RNAcentral also lists the same sequence under 26 other names.